GAGGGUAUAGCUCAGCGGUAGAGCACAUGCUUAGCAUGCACGAGGUCCUGGGUUCAACCCCCAGUACCUCCA
Molecule: transfer RNA, 72 nt
Filed under: Camelus bactrianus (Bactrian camel)
Lineage: Eukaryota; Metazoa; Chordata; Mammalia; Artiodactyla; Camelidae
Also listed under: 2 other names
Rfam family: tRNA
About the family: Transfer RNA (tRNA) molecules are approximately 80 nucleotides in length. Their secondary structure includes four short double-helical elements and three loops (D, anti-codon, and T loops).
Source: Rfam by way of RNAcentral